Molecule: ribosomal RNA, 114 nt
Filed under: Paragonimus westermani
Lineage: Eukaryota; Metazoa; Platyhelminthes; Trematoda; Plagiorchiida; Troglotrematidae
Description: partial 5.8S ribosomal RNA
Rfam family: 5.8S ribosomal RNA
About the family: 5.8S ribosomal RNA (5.8S rRNA) is a component of the large subunit of the eukaryotic ribosome.
Source: RNAcentral
AAGAGCGCAGCCAACCGUGUGAAUUAAUGCGAACUGCAUACUGCUUUGAACAUCGACAUCUUGAACGCAUAUUGCGGCCACGGGUUAGCCUGUGGCCACGCCUGUCCGAGGGUC